Long non-coding RNA from Coffea eugenioides, 301 nucleotides. RefSeq lists it as uncharacterized. Lineage: Eukaryota; Viridiplantae; Streptophyta; Magnoliopsida; Gentianales; Rubiaceae. The record is from RefSeq and is a predicted model, not a curated record. The transcript has 4 exons.
UCUCUUUCUCCCUUGUUCAUCGCUGUUCUCCUCUCUCUCUUUCGUCUGAUUGGGUUUUAGUCCCUUGGUUUACCCCUCCGAUUUUUCAUUUACACGAACUCUCUUUUCUAUAUGUGUUUGUUCUUUAUCCACUGGAUCCAAUCUAAGACGUGCAGUAGCAGAGAAAAUCACAUCAAUUGAAGAGUAAGGAAGAAAAGGAAGAACAACCUCUGUGAGGUUUUUGGAGGAUGGCAAAAAAUUGUGGAAGAAGCAAUCUUUAUUUGUGGUCCAGGAAUAAACAAAUGGUGAAGAUAGCCUUUAA